CUUCCUUACAGACUAUUUUCCACCUUACUUAUUCCAUUCUUGGAAAUUCCUUUUUGAAACAGCUUCUGGGGAAGAGGAAAGUACAUCACUAAGAAGAAAAAUGUCUCUCGUGUGCUAUUCUGGGGGAGCCCCAAGGACUUUAAGAAAUGCAAGAAUUGUGCUGCAGGCCCAAACUUAGAAACUGAAGGAAAGUGUAUACCAUAUUCCAAUUAUACUGCUUCAUGGCCUUGCAUAGCUGCUUUGAAGGACGGAUCUUUAAAGAUUUAUAAACUUGGGUGGGUGGAUGGGUAGGGGAAAGGACACCCACGCUUUCUUCCUGCUUCAAGCAUCCCAGCUCUCACUCUCUUUUUUCUCUAGUUUUGCAGCUCAAAAGCCCUGGAACAACUGCAGCUGGGUGAGUGUAAUAAACAGGUACCUGAGAAAAGGGGUCAAGUUCAAUAUGAUGUUUGCUGCCCAUGUCCCCAGACACUGUGGGCCCCCACAGUGCUCACUAAGCCCAGCUUCUUGCUGCCUGGCUUAGGACAGCUAGGGACGACCUUCAACAGAGGCCUUGAAGGAUAGUCAGUUUAAAGAGC
Long non-coding RNA from Heterocephalus glaber (naked mole-rat), 575 nucleotides. The record is from Ensembl. NCBI's taxonomy places the organism in Eukaryota, Metazoa, Chordata, Mammalia, Rodentia, Bathyergidae.